This 497-nucleotide ribosomal RNA is filed under the name uncultured bacterium. RNAcentral describes it as "partial 16S ribosomal RNA". It matches the Rfam family "Bacterial small subunit ribosomal RNA", at positions 28 to 507 of the family's 1533-position model. The record is from RNAcentral.
GAUGAACGCUGGCGGCGUGCCUAACACAUGCAAGUCGAGCGAACGGACGAGAAGCUUUCGUCUUUACGGUUAGCGACUGACGGGCGAGUAACACGUGCAUAACCUACUUAUAAUUCUGGGAGAACUUCGGAAAACCGGAUCUAAUACCGGAGCAUAUGAUGAACCGCAGGGUGCAAAAGUUAAUGACGGUUUUCGUGUUAGUAAUAGAUGAAGCCGUGCUGCAUUAGCUAGUUGGUAAGGUAACGGCUUACCAAGGCAACGAUGCGUAGCCGAUCUGAGAGGAUGAUCAGCCACACUGGAACUGAGACACGGUCCAGACUCCUACGGGAGGCAGCAGUGGGGAAUAUUCGGCAAUGGGCGCAAGCCUGACGCAGCCAUGCCGCGUGAGUGAAGAAGGUCUUCGGGUCGUAAAGCCCUGUUAUUAGGAAAGAAAAGCUGUAUGAUUAUCCCUCGCUAUUCUGACGGUACCCAAACAAAAAGCACCGGCUAACUACGUG